GCAGUAGGGAAUUUUCGUCAAUGGGGGGAACCCUGAACGAGCAAUGCCGCGUGAGUGAAGAAGGUCUUCGGAUCGUAAAGCUCUGUUGUAAGAGAAAAACGACAUUCAUAGGGAAUGAUGAGUGAGUGAUGGUAUCUUACCAGAAAGUCACGGCUAACUACGUGCCAGCAGCCGCGGUAAUACG
Molecule: ribosomal RNA, 184 nt
Filed under: uncultured bacterium
Lineage: Bacteria
Description: partial 16S ribosomal RNA
Rfam family: Bacterial small subunit ribosomal RNA
Source: RNAcentral